GUUUAAUCAUAUUAGUGAAGAUUAUAAAGGAGCUUUAAAAUUGCAAGGCUAGCGUGUAGUGCUAGAAUUGUUCAGAGAGCGUUCAUAAGAAAUCCAUUAUCACAGAAAACUAAAACAAAGAAAGAAUUCACUUACAGGCAAAAGAUGCCAGUGAUCAAUAUUGAGGACCUGACGGAAAAGGACAAAUUGAAGAUGGAAGUCGACCAGCUCAAGAAAGAAGUAACACUGGAAAGAAUGCUGGUCUCCAAAUGUUGUGAAGAAGUAAGGGAUUAUGUUGAAGAAAGAUCUGGCGAAGAUCCACUAGUAAAGGGUAUCCCAGAGGACAAAAAUCCCUUCAAGGAGCUCAAAGGAGGCUGUGUGAUUUCAUAAGAAAAAAAAAAAAUCCUUGGAAUAUCUUGAGCUUUAAUGACAGUACUAGUUUUUGGUUAUAUAUAAGAAUUCUAUUAAGCAUAGAGAGACAGAGCACAAGCAGGGGAAGGGCAGAGAGAAAGGGAGACAUAGAAUCUGAAGCAGGCUCUAGGCUCUGAGCUGUCGGCACAGAGCCCAACGCAAGGCUUGAACUCACGGACACUGAGAUCAUGACCUGAGCCAAAAUCAGACACGCAACUGAAUGAGCCACCCAAGCACCCCUGUCAUCCAUUUUAAAAACAAGAAGUUGUUAUUUCAGGACCAUGGAUUACUAGGUAAAAAGGAAUGAGGUAAGAUUACAGGGAAACAAAAGAGACUCCUGGCAUAGCCUUAGCAUUUGGCUCUUCAACAAAACUUCCUGGGACCAGUAGUGAGAAUGAGUUAAGUAUACAUACUGCAGUAUAUACCAUUUGAGAUACUUGCACUUUGAGGGUAUUUUGUACACAUAAGUGAGUUUAAGCUUUAGCAAGAAAAAAAAAAACAGUUAUUCUAAUUUGGACUGAUUCGAUUAGAGCCAGAUUUGAAAACAAGGCUAAUAUCAAACUUCCUAAAUUCUUAAAACAAUAUUAACAUGAGGAAAACAGUAAAAUGAGUAAUAAGAAUGACCAGUUAAAUGGAAAUUAAAGUCUUGUAUAAGCACAAUUGAUAAAUCAUAUUUGAUAUGAAUUAUAAGUAGUUGUUAAGAUAGUUGGAGCAUUAGGGGCACCUGGGUGGCUCAGUCGAUUAAGCAUCUGACUCUUUUUUUUUUUUUUAAUUUUUAUUUUUGAGAGAGAGAGCACGAACAGGGCAGGGGUAAAGAAGGAGGGAGAGAAUCCCAAGCAGGCUGUGAACUAUCCGCGCAGAGCCCAAGGUGGGGCUUGAUCUCACAAACCAUGAGAUCAUGACCUGAACUGAAAUUAAGAGUCUGAAGCUCAAUGGACUGAGCCACCAAGGCACCCCUAGAUUUUGACUCAGGUUGUGAUCUCAGAUGAUGAGAUCGAGGCCCAUGACUGGCCCCAAGCUAGGUAUGAAGCCUGCUUAAGAUUCUCUGUCCCUUUGUCCCUCCCCAGUGCACUCAAGUGUGCUCAUUCUCUGUCUCUCAGAAAAAUAAAAAGGAUAAUUGGAGCAUGAGACACAGGUCAUCCUCUUACUUCAUAUUAUCUCCAUCUAGAAAAGGAAGCUUAUGCACACAGUUGAAUGGGUCAGUUGUGAAAUUUUCCAUGGGAUUGUUAUAAUAAGUUGAAGUAAAAUAAAAUGAACCAAGUGCAUCAAAUAUUUGUUAAAUAUGUUCCUUAAAGAAACCAUCAUUUUAAUGGCCUAAACAGUCAUCAUGAACUUUAUAAAUUCCAGAAGAGCAGAAUUUGGGAAAUAACCUAGUUUAUUUACACUAACAAAACAGAGGCAGCGAGAAUAUAUGUCCUGUAAAAACAAACAAAACAAAACAAAACAUAAAAUAAGAC
RNA transcript from Neofelis nebulosa (Clouded leopard), 1847 nucleotides. It is a transcript of the gene named G protein subunit gamma transducin 1, with no coding region annotated. NCBI's taxonomy places the organism in Eukaryota, Metazoa, Chordata, Mammalia, Carnivora, Felidae. The transcript has 5 exons. The record is from RefSeq and is a predicted model, not a curated record.